Drosophila melanogaster (fruit fly) is the source of this 153-nucleotide small nucleolar RNA. Lineage: Eukaryota; Metazoa; Arthropoda; Insecta; Diptera; Drosophilidae. The record is from Ensembl.
UAUCUACCUGCAUUAUUUGCCCCUUUUGAAUGUGUAACAGCUUUCAGUCUGUACAUCUUCUUUAGCAAAAGGAUGCUAGAUUGAAUGUGUACACUUGCAACAGUUGCCUACCAAACCCCUGCUAGCCAACUUACCGUAAGCCCUACAAUUAAA